GAAUCGCACCCAUCCUUCAAGGGCCAUUGCAGCAAUCCCUCUCCCCAACCUGAGCAUACUGCUCUCAAGGUUCCCCCUAACCCCCAGUUCAAGGCCUUUGGCCUGUGAAUGGCCCUUACCAGAGUCAACAACUGGGCUCCACACCUUGUAGUAUCCAUAGCCAUCUCUGAGAGGACAACCCAGGGGUCGUUGGGGAAGUAGAGAUGUUCCUGACUCCUGAGGCCACCUGUUGCAGGUGAGGACUGUCUGGCUGAGUGUUGCAAAAGAUAGGCAGCCAAGGACUUCCGCACUAACGGGCCUGAGGGGUGGCUCCUGAAAUACCCUGCCUAGUGUCACAAGGUCAGGGCCAGGGCCAGGGCCAGGACAAAGAACCACGUGGGGUCGGGUUUGACAAAGGCCACAGGGACAGGGCUAUGAGACAGGAUGACAGAACACUGGUUGGACUUGCUGUGGAGAGGUUAAUGAGGUGGCUGGAGCCUGCCCACUCCCACCCCACCCUUCAGACUGGUUAAAGAAGAUGAAAAUCGGGCACCUCGAAACAGGUACUGGGAUCAUUUGUUCAAGACUUCGUGGAGGGAGCAUUCUAAGACUAAUCCCACCGUGAGUCAGGAAAGAACCUCAGAGCUGCUUCCGUGGGAAACAGAUGUGGUGGAGGCUUGGGCUACUGGCAGGUGAGGGAAUGUGGUGGCUAGUCUGCUUGUCUCUGAGAGCGGGAGGGGAUGAAGGUCUGGGGGAACUGUCAGGAGUGACACUGAGAAGCCGGAACUCUGCAUGGGGUGGGAAUAGGGCAGUGGGCAGGGCAUGGAAUGGGGGCGGGGCAGAGUGCAAGGCGUGCCGCGGGCGAGGGGGCGGGGCACGGAAUGGGGGAUGGGGCAGACUGCGAGGCGGGGGUGGGGGUGGGGAGAACACGGGGCGGAGCCUGGGGUGGAAACGGAGCGAGUCCAGGUGAGGAUCCGAGCGGUUCUGUCUUGAUGCCAAGUUCAUCUGCUCUGCUGCUGUCCAUUGCAGUUGUCUUUCUUCACUGAGAGCCCUGCCUCUCCAGGAGUCAUCCUUGCCUUCAGCCCCAUUCCAGGACAGUGGAGGAGACAUCUAGACUCAUGUCUUGAGUAGCUACCAGAUUUUCAGCCUCUCCAGGCACUAUUGGAUCAUCCAGACCAUAUGGUGUAAGCCACUCUAGUAAAUCCCUUUUUUUUUUCUUUUUUUCGGAGCUGGGGACCGAACCCAGGGCCUUGCGCUUGCUAGGCAAGGGCUCUACCACUGAGCUAAAUCCCCAACCCCUAGUAAAUCCCUUUUUAAUAUAUAAUUCUAUCAGUCAUGUUUCUGUAGAGACGAACAUGUGUGUAUGUGAGGAUAUAGGAAUCACGGUAAAAAAGAAAGGAAGGAAGGAAGGGAGGAAGGAAGGAAGGAAGUAGUCAGAAGUUCAGAUGUGGAGUCAGAUGUCUUAGACAUGCUUAGUGGAUGGAGAAUUAAGGGAAGUCAGGAGAGACAUGUGUCAACAGGUAAAGAUGAUCAUAAAAGCAUGGAAGGUAUUAAAAACUCAAUAGAAAUUUGAGGGCUUAAAAGUAUAACAGAAGGGGUUGGGGAUUUAGCUCAGUGGUAGAGCGCUUGCCUAGCAAGCGCAAGGCCCUGGGUUCGGUCCCCAGCUCUGAAAAGAAAAAGAAAAGGAAAAAAAAAAGUAUAACAGAUGUGGAAACAUCACUGAAGGGCUCAAAGGCAGAUACUUUAUUUUAUAUGUUGAGAUGUUUUAACAGCGUGUAUGUCUGUGUAUGUACCAUGUGUGUGCUGGGGGCCCUUAGAGGCCAGAAAGAUGGUGCUGGAUCCCAUGGAACUGGGCUUACUGACAACCUUGUAAGUCCCCAUGUGAGUGCUGGAAAUCAAACCUGGGUCCUCUGGAGGAGCAGUCAGUGCUCUUAACCACUGAGCCAUCUCUGCAGACUUUAAUCACAGGCUUUGAUGGGCCUACGUUAGAAGCAAGGAAGUUGGAAACCAAGCAAUUGGAAGUAAUUGGUCUGCGGAACAGAAAAAGGAAAGGAAGAGGAAAUGAAGGAAACCAACAGGACCCAUGAGACCCAUCAAACAUAUUAUCUUAAAGACAAUGGCUUCUAGAAGGAGGAGAGGGUGAUUGGGGCAGAGACUAGUUGGAGAAAUAGCAGUGAAACAGUUUCCAAGUAUAAAGAAAGGUACAGACAUACACAAGAGCUCCUAGCAGGAGAAACUCCAAGAGAUCCCAGUUUGGACACAUUGUAGUCACAGUGUCAAAAGGCAGAGACACUUGAAAUCUACUCCCGAAGAGUGAAGUGUGGCACACAAGGGAUCCACAGCUCCCGGAAACCGAGAAGCCAUUUGGCAUCAGAAGCUGGACAGGCCAGCCAGCAGCAUCUAACCUAGCACUGCCACUGCCUCCAAAGCUUCUCUCCAACAGAAAGGAAACAUUAAGAUACAGAUGAACCAAACCAGAUGGAUGAAUUCCCCUGUAAGCCUGCCCUACAGGAAAUGCUACAGGGAGACGUUCUAGACAGAAAGUUGGGAAAUGCCCUCUGGUUGAGAGGGGAUCCAGGGUGGGGUAGGACAGCAUAAGAAGAUAGAGUUGUGGUUCCUAUAAAGUCCUAGUCCAAGGAACCUGUGAAUAUGUCCCUUCACGUGGCACAAAUAACAGCACACAGCUGACGUCAUACUCAGCAGCAAAAUACUCACAUUUUUCUCCACUAAGUCAGGAACAAGGACAAGGAAACCACUUCUAAGCAGCACACUACUGAAAUGUCUAGCCAGAAUAAUUGGGGGAGGAAAAACAAAUAAAAAAUACCCAAACUGCAAAGGGCUGCAGUGCUGAUGUGUUUUACUCUCAGAGCCCAUAGGUAGAAUCCUACCAGUGGGAGGACCUUAGGGUGAGGCCUCUCAAAGCUCACUGGGUCACAAGGGCAGAGCCAUCAGGGAUGCAUCUAUGUAAGAGGUCCCGAGAGCUUCUCGACCUUGCACCGUAUGAUACUGAAAAUGAAUCAUGGGGAACGGGAUGUGACCACACGACAGCCUGAUCUUGGACUCCCCAGACACCAGACUGUGGAAAAAAGAUUCUGCGGUUUUCAAGUGGCUGAAUACAAAUUUUUCUUCAGUAUCCAAAUGGACCUUCAACUCUCUCUAAUUCAGAAGACGUCACUGUGUCUGUAGAAGGUCACAGAUGAUCCAUAAAAAUCCCUGAGUCAAUGCUCCCAGAGUUAAUUCGCCAGAGUUGCAGGAUCUAAAGAUCAUCACGCAAAGUUGUAUUUUUAUACACCAGCAGCAAGUGACCAGAAAAAAAAAUGUAAAAGUAACUCCAUUUACAUCAGCACCAAAAAAAACCAAAAGCUCCCUGAGAAUGAAGUAGUUGACAAUUGCAAAAUGUUGCUGAAAGGAGCGAGGGCAUCACAGCAAAUGGAUGACAAUAGCCCUGGGGGAACCACACUACCCCACGUGUGGAGAUCCACAGAUUCUCCACAGUCCCUAACUCUCCAAAUUAUGAUUUUUGCAGAAGUAAAAAAAAAACUUAUUUUAAAAUCAAUAUUGAACCUCAAAGAACCCUGAAUAUUAAAAACAAUUUUGAAAAAAAAAAAAAAACCAAAACACCAAAUAGUUCCAGUUUCAAAGUUACUACAAAGUGUCAUAGUAACCAAGAGUAUUAUGAUAGAUGUUGGCUUAAUGACAGACAGACAACUCAGUGGCAAAGAGCAGAGUGCACAGUAACAAUGUAUCCCUGCACAUGGCUUGAUUUUUGACAAAGGUGCUAAGAGAAUUCAGUGGAAGAAAACCAAUCCCUUUAGCAAAAGAUGUAGCAUAAAUUUGGUAUCCAUUUGAUACAUAAGAAGGAAGUUGAAUUCUUUCCCAAUAUCAUAAUAAAAAUGACCUUGAUGUGGACCAAAGCGUAGGUGGAAUCAGGUGGCAAUGUUAUAUAUGUGUGGAGAUAGCACAAUGAAAUCUUUGUACGCCAAUCAGAAGUUAAUUUAAAAAGAAAAGGAUUAAAAUUGUGAAAUGGGGCUGGGGAUUUAGCUCAGUGGUAGAGCGCUUACCUAGGAAGCGCAAGGCCCUGGGUUCGGUCCCCAGCUCCGAAAAAAAGAACCAAAAAAAAAAAAAUUGUGAAAUUAGAACAUUCUUGGAAGAUAUGGGCUACAUCUUGGAUUUAACAGUGGCCUCUUUUGAACUUCUUUCUGGUGUGGAGGAUCAAGUCUAGGUCUUUAUGACAGGCAAGUGCUCUACCACUGAGCCAUACACCCAGCCCUGGAAUAGCUUUUUUUUUUUUUUCGGAGCUGGGGACCGAACCCAGGGCCUUGCGCUUGCUAGGCAAGCGCUCUACCACUGAGCUAAAUCCCCAACCCCUUGGAAUAACUUCUUAAAUGUGACAUGAAGGGCACUGUUAGAAGAGGUCACAGAUCAAUCAGACUUCAUAAAUGUCCCGGUGCCAUGUAUGGUGACCUGUUCCAAUAGGCCUAGAGGCUCAGGAGACUGAAGCAGGAAGAUCGUUUGAACCUAGAGGCUCAAGGUCGAUCUGGGCAACAGAGCAAGAGCCCCAUCUUGGAUAACGACAGCAACAGACAACAGCCUUAGAAGGCAGAAGGGCACUAUGACGAGAUGGUUGAAUGGAAGAAAGUAUUUGUAAAUCUUGCAUCUAGUAAGGAACAGCUAAAUUCACAUUCACCAAUAAGAAAGAUUCUUAGAACCCAACAGCACCAACAAAAAGGCAAACAACCCCAUAUAUUGGGCAAAAGAUUAGGACCCUUUUCUGAAGACGAUUUAAGAACAGACAAAAAUUGCAUGAACAGACAUUGAUAGUCAUCUGAGGAAUGCUAAUCGUAACUGUGAAGCCCCCUCCCAUGCCCACUGAGACAGUUAUCUUAAAGGGGCCCGAGGAGGGGGCCAGAAAAUAGCAAGAGUUGUUGGCCAUGAUGAAGUAUUGGCAGAGGAGAGAGUUUAGAUCACUUGUAUGUAAAUGUGUAUGCAAAUUAAUAUGUAAGUGAGUAUGCAAAUACACACGCAAAUGUAUAAAUAAUUCCGUUUGCUGUGCAAAACAAGUUUGGUGAUUCAUUGUAAAUUUAAACAGAGGAUAUUGUACAACCUGGCAAUUGCACAUCUAAGUACACUCUCUUGAAAACCGGAAGUGGGGACUCAAACAAAUUCUUGUAUGCCAGGUCAGUCAUAGGAAUAUUAUUCAUAACAGCCAAAACAUAGACAUACCCCAACUUCCUACCCAUUGGUGAAUGACAGAAAAGGUGUCUGUGUAAACUGGGAAAUGCUAUCCAGCCAUGAAAAAGAGUGAUGUUUUGAUACAUGCUGUAACACAGAUCAACCUCAACAACAUUAUGAUAAGCAAAAUAAGCCUUAUAUAGAGAGAUAAAUGAUAACUCCUGUUUUGUAAAUAAAGAAGAAGGAAAUUCAUUGAAACAGAAGGAACAGUGCCUGCUAAGACUGUGGGGAAUAGGAAGUUAGUGGGUUUCUGAAUGGAAUGAUAAAACCAUUUUGGAAAUAGUGAGGAGGUAUGCAAUGUCGUUAGUGAUCAAUGCCACCAAAUUGUAGUUUUAAAAAUGGUUAAAAUGGACUCCGGAGGGAUGGCUCAGUGGUUAAGACUGCUUGCCGCUCUUCCAGAGGCCUGAAUUUGGCUCUCAGAACUCACACUAGGUGGCUCACAGUGAUCUGUAUCUCCAGCUCCAAGGGUUCUGACCCCCUCUUCUACACACACACACACACACACACACACACACACACACACACACACACACAGUUUAUGGUUACAAUGACAGACUUUACGGCAUCCAUAUUCCAUCACAAUAAAGGAGAGACUGACUAAAAAGCCUUCCAUUUUCAUCAUAAGCAGGGUUUUUACUUCCUUAAUCACAAUCUCGCUCUGUUCUCUCAGUCAGCAUUUCCCUGGCAGGGGCCUGGCAUGGUUACAGAUAUUACAGGUGCUGUGUGGGACCCAAACAGUGCCAGGACAGUUAAGUACUUCUUGACUGCUCUAACACUGGAGUUAUUCCCGAAGAAACCAUGGCAAAGGCUAGCCUUGGACUCCUCAGUUAAACAGAGGGGCUCACACUGGCUGAAGAUUAUGACUUCUUACCCCAGUGUGCUAUUCCACAUGCCUCUAAGUCCCUCUGUUAGGAGAAGCUAGAACUAAAAGUUAGGGUGAGAGGAACCAUUGGCAGUUUCUCAUGAAAACCCUACAGGCUUGGCUUGAAAAGAAGUCUUUGAUCAUUCAAACCAAAAGGUAACUCUUGGGACCCACAGUUUAUCGGUAGGCAGUGGGUCAUGAAAGGACGGUGUACACUCAGAGUCCCACUGUCUUCCAAAGGGGGUGCUGAGGCUGGGGAGGGUGUGAGCUCUUCACAGAGGACCGACCGAGACUGUUUGAAGGCUCAUGCCCAGGUCCUGCACGAUACCACACCUCAGUGCCAUGCAUCGGUUUCUCCCUCUUUCUCUUUCUGAGCGGAAGCUGACACUUAAGUUUGGUUCUUAAAUGUCCUCCCAAGGUCCAAUAGGGAUAGAGAACUCUUUACAUCAUGGGUGGGGUGCCCCAGGAGGGCACAGUGUGAGUCCAGCCCUUCCUCUUCUUUCUUUAACUUUCUAGCCGCAUGUCGCUUCAUGGCAAUCUCACAUCAGGACCGUGUCACAAGUCCCAAGGAGCAGGAUUAACUAGUCAAAAAUGGAGACAGUUUAAAAAUUGUGAGCUAAAGUAAACCUUUUCCUUUUUACAAGUUGAUUGUAUCAAGUAUAUUUAUGGCAGCGAUGGAGACCUAACGACGGUCCUCUAUCCAAGCUCCUAUUGGUGGAUUGUUAGUUUUUCAUUACCGAUUACCAGCAUGGUCUGCACGCACGGAGAGCCCUGUCUCCAGCCUCCCAGAUCCUGUGCUUUGCUUUGAAUUCAGGAACUGCAUUGGUGGAUGUGUAUUCUAUGUGUGAGAAGGAAGUGUGCAUGGGAAUGUGACACACAGGGGAAGCACACGGGGGAGCGGGCUAUGGAAGAGGUCAUUACCUGUGGCCCAAAUCCAUGACCCCUUUGUCCACUGUGGUGAGGAUGCUGAGCUCCUGGCUACUCUGUCUUUCUCAGCCUUCUUUAUAGCAAGCUGGCUCCAGAGAAUUUCCAGGUCCACACACUUAGGAAGAGAAUAUCUCUGCCCAACUUUCCCUGGCUAGACACAGGCAAUGAUUUGGCUUUAGGGACUGGGCACAGUCAUGGAAUUGAGGAGGUCUGGGUUCCCAACAAUGUGGAGAGUCUGGGCUGUCAGAUGUCCCACACUGACUUAUGCGAUGAGAAAUACAGUCUUACAUAAGACUGGUUACAGUAACGAGGUUUGUCCUAAUCAACACAGGGUCCAGGACUGAUGAUCAGCAAGAGAUUUGAACAGGAUAUAAGAUCAUUUAGUUUUCAAUACUGCUGAGUAUCGAGUUUAUGCUCAAUCUGAGUUAUGAAAGUGAUUUAUGUAUUUUAUCAGUCUGUCUGUCCGUCCGUCUGUCUACCUAAAUUCAUUGCAGUACUCAGGACAACUGUGUUCAGGAAAUACAGAACACUCCACACAUCCUUUGCACGGUCUUGCUAAUCUCCCCUGCCUUCUUCCAGCUUUAGUUACAUGGGCUACCUAAGCAAGAACUUCUAGAAACUGAUCUUUAACUUCCACGGAGCUUAGUGUCCAGCAAACAAGAGAGAAAUGGUUUAGUUGAAAUUCAAACUGGCGGCCUUUUCUUCCCCUCCUUGGGUACUGAAAGAUUGUUGUCAUCAUAGAUAACUUAGUAGCUGCCCAGGACAGGAAGUUCAUGACUAAGUGUUUACUACCAAGGGAACGAAUGGUCGUGGAUGUCCUUCCCCCAAGGAAGGCAACGGUACCAAACACGGACAUUAGCUCAUGCUAGUCAAAAUGUACACCGUCAAGCCAGUUGUCUUGGUAUUUGGACAAUGUGCUUUGCAAUUAUGCAUGAGCCUAACACAUGGCCUUUAUGAGAAGCAAAAGACCUUGAGAAAAACAGGAAGGGCCUCAGAACAGAGUAGGGUGGGGGUCCAGCUGCCAAGGCCAAUGGUGGUGCUGGCAGGAAGUGAGCUAGAAACUGGAUGGCAGCAGAUAGAGUGGAGCCUCUUCUGGGACCUCAUCCUCUGUAAUGGUGCCAGUGUCUGGAAAUAGGACCAGUAAACUAUAAACUUUAAAAAAAAAAAAGAAAAGAAAAAGAAACGGGAAGUACCAGUGGGCAUACUGUAGGCUCUUUGGAGAACAUAAGAGAGACUGUGGGUUCUUUUUUGUUUGUUUACGAGACAGGGUUUCUCCAAGUAGCACUGGCUAUCCUGGAACUCUCUCUGUAGACCAGACCUCAAACUCACAGAUAUCCACCUCCUGGGCGCUGGGAUUAAAGGUUUGUGCCACCACCACCCAGCUACUGUGGGUACUUUCGUGGUUUGUUUGUUUGUUUGUUUUGUUUUAGACAGGAUCCUACUAUAUAGCCCUGACUGUCCUGGAACUUAUUAUAUAGACCAGGCUGACCUUGAACUCACAGAGAUCUGCCUCUGCCUCCUGAGUGCUAAGAUUAAUGGAGUGUGCCACCGCACCGACGCUGAGGGGUUUCUGCUGGAUUCUGUUUCUUAAAGGUCUUGUAGCCCCUGUGUAGGAGAAAGCAGGGGAUGGAGGGAAGGGGGUUGGAGCAAUUCCGGAUGUGUGAGAAGAGACACCUCUGUCUCUGAUAGCUGAGACUUAAGGCGUGGAGUCCCCUGGUAAUAAAAGUAGAGUGGACAAGCAACAUCCAAAUGUAAGAGGUCCCUCACAGGCUGUGUUUGAACCCUUGGUCCCGGCUCUCUGCGCUGGUUUUGGGAGUGUCUGGAAGCUUUGGGUGUGACUUAGGUAGAAGUGGGUUGACACCUGUUUCUGAUUCCUGCCCCAUCUUUCGGAUCUGCCCAGAAGUGAGCAAACCCCAGUGUUCUCCCAGUGUCACAGGCAGGAGCCUUCCCACAUUCCCUGUGUUUCCCAUAGCCACGAGCCUAACCAAUCCUUCUUCCCCUCUGUGGCUCUGCCAAGUAUUUGGUUCCACUGUGGGAAAAGCAAUUGAUAAAGCAACCGGACACUCGGUUGUGAAAACGGAGAAGCUUAAAGAAGAUCCAGGGCAUGAAAAGAAAAUUGAAAGAAGUCAGUGAUGAUAAGAAAAAAAAUAGUGGGGUUGGGGAUUUAGCUCAGUGGUAGAGCGCUUGCUAGGCCCUGGGUUCUGUCCCCAGCUCUGAAAAAAAGAAAAAAAAAAUAAUACUCUAAGCUUGAUUGACAGACACAAAUUUGUUUUUAUUUGAAAUGGGGGAAAUGGGGUUUCUCAACGUUGCCUAGGCUAGUCUCAAAGUCACAAGCUUCAGUGACCUGAGACCCUAACCUCUACUCUCAGAUCCAAACCCACGUGUUUAAAAAGACCGCAAAAACAGUGAUGGGGAUGUGACUUAGUGGUUAAGAGUACUUGUGGCUCUUGAGGGGGAACUGGGUUCAAUCCCCAUCCCCCACAUGGUGGUUUGCUGACCUCUGUGGGUACAGGCACGCAUGUGGUACAGACACCUACGCAGGCAAAGCAUUCAGACCCUGGAAGUAAAAUAAAUAAACCUUUCUUAGAUUUUUAAAAGUUGGUUGGGGCUGGGGAUUUAGCUCAGUGGUAGAGCGCUUACCUAGGAAGCGCAAGGCCCUGGGUUCGGUCCCCAGCUCCGAAAAAAAAAGAACCAAAAAAAAAAAAAAAGUUGGGGUUGGGGAUUUAGCUCAGUGGUAGAGUGCUUGCCUAGCAAGUGCAAGGCCCUGGGUUCGGUCCCCAGCUCCGAAAAAAAAAAAAAAAGAUUUUUAAAAGUUAGGUUAUCACAGGCUGGGAGAUGGCUCGCUGGGCAAAGCACUUGCUUUAAUGGUUUGAAGACCGAAGUUUAAGUUUCCAUGAGCAGAACCCACGUAAACGCUAGAUGCCGAAAGUGAGAUGACCCCGGAUGAUUUUGAGGCAGAUACCCUGACCUGCACAACAGUGAUGGCAGGAUGGCAGCCAAGGCUGUCCUUUGACCUCUAAAUGUGUGUGGUAUUGAGAGGACCUAACUCACUCCGUUUUAGCAGGCAGCCAUAUUAGGCCUUAAGCUUCAGUUUUCCAGGUCAGCCUAGGCUUCUCAGGAAAAAAAAAAAAAAAAAACCAACAAAAACAAAACAAAACAAAACAAAAACCCCAACAACAACAACAAAUGCAGGAAAAGGGCAGCCAAUCAGCAACUGUCCCAACAUCUGGUCAGGGGCUUACAACAUAUAUGGGGAAAGUCCCUCUAAGGUAACCCUCUCUCCCUCGAGGUACGAACCAAUCAGAAGUGCACAAAUAUCCUAUAACAUAAACUCAACUAAUCCUGUAGAAGGAGCCCCAACCACAACUAGAAAACUCCCAACUGGCUUUAAAGGGGCCUGCGAACUUCCCUCAGGGUCGCCGUUCUGCUUGGAUGGUUGCCCCCCGCCCUGCAUGCUGGCUGUUUCUGCAGAAUAAACGCUCUCUCACACUGUCCGAGUCCGGGGUGUUCCUUCAGUAAUUCUCAGACCUUACAGCGCCAUGCAUUCUCCUGUAUUCUUUCUCCCUCUCCCUCUCUCUUUCUCUUUCAAAUAUAAUCAAAUAUAACAGAAAAGACUUUAAGAAGGAACUUUAAGAAUAAGAAAGGGAUUUAGUUCUAGAUGAAAGUUCUUAGAAGGCGCAGGAGAGUCACGUGUGACUUAUACCAAUGUAUUUCAAAAAUCAGAAGAAAUGGAAAAUUUUCAAAUAAUGUAAUUUGCUUAAAAAUUCACUGAGGAAGCCAAGCCAAGCCAAUAGUUGAAGUGUAGAGUGAUGUGGAAAUCUUCCUCUUUAUACAAAUGCCAAGCCCAGUUGCUAAACAAAAAAAAAACUAUGCUUAUGGGGCUAAGAGUAUAACUCAGUGGCAGGGUGCUUGCCUAGCAUACACACGUCUUCAAAACAACUAAAAAAUACGCUUAUGGAAGUCUUGCCGGUGACUUGGAACAAACGUGACUUAUUGAAUGAGCGAUGUCAUUCACUGUUGUCAUGAGGUUCUGUCUGUUAGGGAACGCAUGUGGCGGUAUGGAGGCGGGACAUCAUAUGCCUUGGUGUGACAGCAGGGUGGGAGAGCAGUUGUGGCUCUAACUCUGCACUUAUAUCUCCAGAACCCAGAAUCCAAGACCUGCCUGCCUACAAGAUCUGGAAGGAGGGGUGGUGCAUGUCUUUAGUUCAAGACCGACCCGGUCUACAGAGUGAGUGCCAGGACAGUCAGGGCUACACAGGGAAACCCUGUCUCAAAAGACCAAAAGAAACAGAUCUAGAAGGAGGGACAAAUGAACUGAAAUACCACAUAGCAGGAGUCAGGGUGAUGGGGGAGCGAUGCUGAGGGAUGGGGUACCACAUAGCAGGAGUCAGGGUGAUGGGGGAGUGAUGCUGAGGGAUGGGGUACCUACCACAUAGCAGAAGUCAGGGUGAUGGGGGAGCGAUGCUGAGGGUUGGGGUACCACAUAGCAGGAGUCAGGGUGAUGGGGGAGCGAUGCCGAGGGAUGGGGUACCACAUAGCAGGACCUGGGUGAUGGGGGAGAGAUACAGGGGGAUGGGACAUAGGGGGAGAGGGUGUGGGCACAGUUCAUGGAAACAAGUGUGGACUUGUGCCGUCAGGCUCCACGUAGAGUCACUUGCCUUGUCAAACAUGCACCUGGUAAAAGGACCGAGGCUAGGAGACACAAAGAACCUUGCCAACUUAGUAAGAUGAUAACACCCCUAUCUUAAAAGAAAAUGUCUCCAAAGAAUGUCCAGUGUAGAUACCAAAACACAUAUGCCAUCAUUAGUCAAAAGAUAAAUGGAAGUUAAGUCACACUGGCAUGCCACUGCAUGGUCCCAGGCAGGAGCAGGACCUGGGGGGACGUGCAUCAACGGGGCCCCUGUCCCUGUGCUGGGAAAGGCAGAGGAAAAGAGGUUGGGAGUUUCUUCUGAGGUUAAAAGUCUUACAUAGGGUCCUUCCACACAUCUCUCUCUCUCUCUCUCUCUCUCUCUCUCUCUCUCUCUCUGCUUGCCAAAUGGUCGCCCAUGUACAUGCAAAGACUUGUGCUAGGAUGUUCACGGGGGCUUCACACAUGACAGCUGAGGCCGGGAACAACCCAGGUGCUGACACGACUGAGCAGUGGGAAAGGGCAAAGGCCAGCUUGCUGCUGACGUAGCAAAGCUCCCUGCCAGGGAAAGAACCAGAUACAGCAGACUGUUUUACUUAUAGACGCUCUGGAAAGGCAAUUCUAAAGAGGGGGAAACAGGGAGAUUUUCGAGAACUGGAGCAGGAGAGGUGACUGUCAUUGUGGAGGCAGAACAGGGGCCUCUUGGAGUGAUGGAACAAGUCCUUUGUUGUUAUCUUGUUUUUUGAGAUAAGGUUUCUCUUUGUAGCCCUGGCGGCUCUGGAACUCACUCUGUAGACUAGGCCGGCCUCAAACUCAAUAAGACGCCUCUGCCUCUCUGUGCUGGGACUAAAGGUGUGCACCACCACUGCCCAGCUCAGUGGCAGGAGUCUUGAUGGUGAUGGUGCUUACAUUUGACCAAACUGCACCUAAAAAGAUGGCUUUAGGUUUUGGUUUGAGUUUUUGAGUUGAGGUCUCACUAUGGAGCUGAGGCUGGCCUUGAACUCCUCAGCCCCCUGUCUCCCCUUCCCAAGUGUCAGGAUUACCUAUGGCCAUCACCACACCUGGCUCAAAGAAGUGGAUUUCAUUUUAGUCAUAUUAUACACUUGGAAGGAAGAGCUGCUGAUGCUAGAGACAGAUAGGCAGUCUCCUGGGAAGCCUUUUGGGCAUUUAGGACCAUGGAAGCUGUCAUCCCAGCUCUGAUACUGGGAUGGAUGUCUUGGGAUUGGUAAAGGACUCUUUCUAGCUUUCUUCCAUGAGCAAUCUGUACCUUCAAAACUGCUGCCAGUUGUCAUCAGAUAGGGAUCUGAUGACAGACCCUGGGACAGAACUGCACAGGGAUUAGAAGACAAAUCUUUCCACCCACACAAGAUUUUCUGUUUUAAUGGGACCAAGGUGAUCUGAGCGUGGCCUGAAAGGCCUCUGGACAAGAGAGCCAAGGCUUCCUGGACUCGGGCUGGCUCUACUGAAUAGAAGAGAACAUUCCCUGAGAACAAAGUCCUGGCAGGAGCUCCUCUUCUCCUUCAUCUUAGAUCUUAGGGCAAACAUCAGCUGGUGGCUGUCACUCUUGGAGCCCGCACAUUGCUCUCUGUGUUUAGGGUCUUUGUGUUCUGUGAGACGGAGCCAGGGAGUGGGAUGCUGUGUCUCUUGCAGGUCCAGAUCGCCAGGCCUGGCCCCUUGUGAGUACCCAGUGCUCAGCGAUGGCCCAUCCAGAGGCUAAUGCAACCUGGAGAUGUGCCGGCCACUGGCCUCUGGUCUAACUUGUCUGAUAUCCUGUGACUUAGAACUGCUGUGUCCUUGGGCUCGCCUCUUGCUGUGGUGCUCUUAAGGGUGGAGCAGACACUGUUUUUGUUCCUUAAAGAGCUAGUAUCUCUUCCUGCCUGACCACAGGCCCUUCAUUCUGAUCAGGGUCAGGCAGGAAUAUGCCCAGCUUUGGGCCCAAACCUGCGUGGCUGGUCCUUACUGUCCAAAUCUGCUGGAUUUGCUUUCUAGACCUUGAGAUAUCCGGUGAUGGAAGCCUCUCCCUUGUAGGGAUGGAGCGAAGUCCUGUGUGGAUGCACCACACUGUUGCUAUGUCAAGGACCCUAGUGUCUCAGCCCUAUUGGAUCAGAAAAGUCUUCCCUGGGUAAGGCCCAGAGCAAUGGCGGUCUUCCUCUGGUCCACAUAUGGAUACUAAUCGUUUGUGCAGAAAAUAUCCUCAGUCCAUUUUCCCCCAGAUAUUUCUUUUCUUUUCUUUUUUUUUUUUUUUUUUUUUUUUUGGAGCUGGGGACUGAACCCAGGGCCUUGCGCUUGCUAGGCAAGCGCUCUACCACUGAGCUAAAUCCCCAACCCCUUCCCCCAGAUAUUUAGCAUAUGAAGACUGCUCCCCUCUUGAGACUGCUCCUACUCAGAUCAGCCGAACCUACCUUCUUGUUCAUCUGUAUGCAAUGACUGACUCCACCUCUGUGCUUAACUGUGCACUGAGCUCCUGGGGUGCUGAGGGUUCUCCAUCCAGGCACCCAGUACACCAGUGCACCCCAUCCCAGCUUUUCUGAAUGUCCGUGUGUUUGUCUUUUCUUCAGUUCCUCUCUAACCUAGCCAGGUCAAUCUCUGGAGCCAUAGAAGGGUGAGACACCAUACACUUUUGCUUCUGAGUUGCUUGGACUGUUUGUGCCCGUGACACUUGUGGUCCAUCCGACAGCCAUGAGGGGAAAGUCAAGAGAGUCAGGAAAGCUAACCUAAGUCUUUCUGAGACUGAAAAACACGGGCCUCUGGGCUGUUGGCCAGGUAACAUGACAAACCUUCCGAUGUGCUCAGUUUAAUUGGGUAUCUGGAACAGCACAACAUCCCUAAUGGACAGAGCAGCAAUAACAAGUCAUCCCUAGGCUUCAGGGAGAGGGUGUCUAAGUGAAUGGAAACAGGGUGAAGUGGGCAUCAGAGGGGACCCUGGGUGGAUCAGGAGGGAAGAGGCCGGGAGCUCUAGUGAGGGAGGAAAGAAGGGCCCCCUGCAAGGAGAUGGAGCCCCAGUGUUAUGCCAGAAGAGGGCAGGCAAGGAGCUCUCCAGGAAGAAGGCCUAAGGGGAGGUUUUUGCUGUGUUCUGUCUGCUUUGUAAACACUCCAACCAGACAGCACGUGAGGGAGCUCAGCAGAGAGCACUAGCUUUGAGUUACUCUUCUGUUGUUGAGAUAAAUCAACCCUGACAAAAGCAGCUUAGUGGAAAAAGGGCUGAUUGAUCCUGGCUUGCAGCCCAAGGGAUAUGGUCCUUCACGGUGGGAAGACAAGGCAGUAGGCUGGGAUAGUGUGGAGACAGAAGCCGGGGCUGGCUAGUCACAUUGUAUCCACAUUCAGGAAUCUGAGGGUAAACAGAAAAUAGGACAAAGCCCACUCCCAGUAACCAGCUUCCUUCAUGGAAACUCCACCUCCUAAAGGCUCCACAACCUUCCCAAACAGUGCCACUAGCUAGGGACCAGGUGUUUAAACAUAUGAAGACAUUUCACAUCAUACCACAGCAAGGUCCUCCCUAAACCACCAAGUUCUGCUCAUAGAAUUCUAUCUCUAGCCCAAGAUUUGCUUUCUCUGCCAAGUUGCCCCCAAGCCCCUGGAGACAUCCAAUUCUCCAGAUCCAUGGAAGUCACUCUGCCCACUUCCAAGAGGUUAAAGUUCUCCUAGAUGGCUUAAUGGAAUGGGCUGUACCACACCUAAAUGUGUUGAAGAAGCUAUCUGGUCUACCUGCUGACUUUCUCUAGAUAAUCUCAGCCAAGGUGGCCUCAGACUUCCUGAAUGCUCACGACAUUUGCAGCCAUUUAAAAAUGGAGUUGGGUGGUGGUGGUGCUGCUGCUGCUGGUGCUGGUGGUGCUGUUUGUGGUGGUGGUGCUGGUGGUGCUGGUUGUGGUGGUGGUGGUGCAUGCCUUUAACCCAGCACUCAGGAGACAGAGGUAGGUGGAUCUCUGAGUUUGAGGCCAGCCUGGUCUACAGAGUGAGUUCCAGGACAGCCAAUGCUACACAGGGAAACUCUGUCUCAGAAAAAGAAAAAAAAGAAUGUGUGUGUGUAUGUGUGUGUGUGUGUGUGUGUGUGUGUGUGUGUGUGUGUGUGUUUGUGUGUGUGCGCGCGCGUGCGCGUCCACACGCAUGCGUGUGCGCUUCAUGCAUGCCAUGGUAUGCCUGAAGCUGAGAACGACUUUCAGGAGUCAGUUCUCUCCUUCCAUCAUAUUGACUCUGGGGAUCAAACUCAGGCCAUUAGACCUGUCAGCAAGUUCCUUUCUCUACUGAGCCAUCUCACUGGCAUUGCCACCAUAUUGUUAGAGACAAGGUUUCUCGCUGAAUCUAGAGCUUGCCGGUUUGGCAAAAAUAACUUGUCAGUAAGCCCCAGGUAUUCAAUCCUUCUGCCUCCAACUUCCCAGCUCUGGGAUUUCAGGUGUAUGGCACCAGACUCGGGCUUUUAUUUGGGUGCCCCGGUUGCAGACUUGGGGUCCUUAUGGUUUCUCAGCGAGGACUUUACUAACUGAGACAUCUCUUCAGCCCCCAUUGCAGCCAGUUUGAAAACGUGUUCGGGAGCUAAUUUACCGAUGGCAGGAUUACUCCAGUGUUAAAGUGAGAGAAAGUACGAUGCCCACCCAUGAACUAACUAUCACCAAACGCUCUCUAGGUAAAGCAGGUCACUAAAUAUUUACACACGACACAAAGCAUUUUAAAAGUCAUUUUCCUCGUUACUUAACUCUUGUUAGUGUCUAUAAUGGGCAUGCAUUUGUGUUUGAAUAAUCAUCUCGGUCACUGAAAAUAUUGCUGUGGAUACCGUGGUACCUGCUAAACAAUGGCCCCUCCCUAAAGCACUGGGACAGCCACUAACAGCUCACAAACAUGGUGAGUCCUCCUGACACCUGCUCUACACAUGGAAUUGGCUCACCCAGGAAGACUUGAGGAGUUACUCUUUCCUUUUUUUUUUUUUCUUUUCUUUUUUUUUUUUUUGGAGCUGGGGACCGAACCCAGGGCCUUGUGCUUGCUAGGCAAGUGCUCUACCACUGAGCUAAAUCCCCAACCCCGAGUUACUCUUUCCUUAAAUGUGGCAAAGAAAAUAGAGUGCCCAUGGGGUGCUUAUGUCUAUCUGAAGUACAAACCUAACUAGGCAUCCUAAUUUGGGUAUCCCCUUUUGCAGGGGCCCCAGUAACCAGUGGCUAUAGGAGUGCAAAGGGCUGGGCCUGCCUCAGAGGGGCUCCUAAACCACACAUACCAGAGCGGUCCUGACAAUCUGCCCAUGACAACAUUUUUUUUCCUUCAACAUGAGGCUCCAUCACUGGCAAUAGAAGGAGCACUGAGAAUCCUUGGCACACAGAAACAGUCCGAUGUCAAGGUUGUUUAUGAGAGCAGGCCAGGUGUAUACACAUACACAAACACACAUACACACACAUAUACAUACACACACACAUACACAUACACAUACAUAUACACAUACACCUACACCUACACAUACACAUACCCAUACACAUACACACACACAUAUACAUACACACACACAUACACAUACACAUACAUAUACACAUACACCUACACCUACACAUACACAUACCCAUACACAUACACACACACACACAUACACAUACCCAUACCCAUACACAUACACAUACACAUACACACACACAUACACAUACACAUACACACACACAUACACAUACACAUACACAUACACACACAUACACAUACACAUACACAUACACACACACAUACACAUACCCAUACACAUACACAUACACACACACACAUACACAUACACAUACACACACACAUACACAUACCCAUAAACAUACACAUACACACACACAUGCAUAUACACAUACACAUAACCAUACACAUACAUACACACACACAUACACAUACCCAUACCCAUACACAUACACAUACCCAUACCCAUACCCAUACACAUACACAUACAUAUACAUAAGUUGACUCCUGUCUCCAUGGAUUCUGCGUCAGUAGGUCUUUCUUCUGUAUUCAGGAGCUGGAAGACUCCAUAAACCCUGAAGGUAAUUCCUACUUCAGAGCCUUCGUAGGACAAACAACCAAGGGAAAAUAUUCCUUCCUGCUGAGCCUUCCCCAUGCAAGUUUCUCAGAAAGGCAACAUUGAACAGGAAGUCUGGAGAUGUGCAUCCCAUUUGCAGCGUACCAAAGACCGGCCUAUGGCAGGAGCUCCCUCCUCUCACACACCCAGCCCCGUGCACACACAGUGGGCCAUGCGGGAGACUUCUGUAUGAAAAGCAAAGGCUGUGACCUAGGACGGGUCUGAGCACACCCCACCAUGUUCCUUUGUCCCUAAUUCUGUCCUCCAUGUGCUUACUUUUCACUAAAACUCUGUGUGCAAAGUUAGCUUUCCUUAUCCUUGUAAGGGAUGCUUCCAAGACCCUCAGAGGACACGUGAAGACCUGGGAGACAAAGGGUGCCAUUUAUAUAAUGUUUCUCCUAGGCACUCAUGCUUGUCAUGAGCUUUAGUUUAGAAAUCUGGCACAGUAAGAGAUUAACGGUGAUAAUUAAUAAUAAAACAGAACAAUUAUAGCAAUACCCCAUGCUAAGUGUUCUUUUAUUUUUUUAUUUUUCGGAGCUGGGAACUGAACCCAGGGCCUUGUACUUGCUAGGCAAGCGCCCUACCACUGAGCUAAAUCCCCAACCCCUAAGUGUUCUUUUAAAAUAUACUGCUCUGCCAUGUCUCGCUUUUCCCGUGAGGAGAGAUGAUGAGUGCCUGUGUCAUGAGAUGAGCCGAGGGGAGGACACUAGGCAUCGUGGAGCAGUUAGGCUACUGCACAAACGUUACUUGAACGCCAGGUUGAGAUAUUUGCCAGUCAACCUGAUAAUGCAGAUAGCUUCUAAAUGGCUACUGGGCAGGAAGUAGACACACCAUGUACUAUAUAUUAAUGUAUAGUAAAUUGUGGGUACACUUGACAAGAGUAGGAUUUACAAAAGAGGGAUGUGAGGUGUUUCAUCCUACAAUACAGAGCAACAUACAGUUUUAAGCCUCUUUUAGGGGCUGGAGAGAUGGCUCAGCACUUAAGAGUACAUAUUGCUCUUGCAAAGGACCAGAGUUCUAUUCCCAGUACCGAUGGGGGAUGGGGGGCUCACAACUCCAGGGGAUCCGAUGUCUUCAUCUAGACUCCGAGGGCACUAGGACUCAUGUGUGCACAUUCACAGACACAGUUAUACAUAAGUAGAUAAUUAAAAGUAAAAAGUGAAUCUUUGAACCUCCUUGUUAGCUUGUUUAUGGAGUUUCCUGCAUAUUAUCUUUGGACUGCAGUUGGCCACAGGUAAAAGAGAUCAUAAACUGACACGGCCGGAGAGGGCGUGGCACAGACUUGAGCAUAUCUAUUGCUGACAAGGGAAUGUUCUUAGAUGCAGGGAGCUAAUAAAACAUAAGGGCAACAGGACCAGAGGGCGAAUUAGGGAAGAGGUUGUGACUGAGGGGGGAUCUUAAGCUGGGAGACAGGACAGUGUAAGAGGCAGGGUCAUGACUUCCUAUAGAUGUCCCAACCCUUGGGACCUGCGAAUCUGUCACCUUAUGUGGUAAGGAAGGCUUGGAAGAUAUGAUCUAGUUAGUGACUUGAGAUGUGGUGAUCCCACAUUAUCUGUUCAGGCUGGGGCAGAAGGGGACAAAGAUUAUAUGAUGGUCACACAGGUGAGAGAGAUGCAGAGGCCAUCAUCGAAUAUGGAAGGAAGGGUACAGGUGCCUAGGAAUUUGUCUGUAGGAGUUUGACAGGAAGGGAAAUGACAUCUUCUACGGCACCCAGAAGGGGCCGGUCCUGCCAAUAUCUUUAUUUUAACCCUAGGAGAUCCAUUUUAGAGUCUAGAACUUUAGCAUAGCAAGUGUGAAUUGUUUUGUUUUGUUCUUUUUUUUUUCCGGAGCUGGGGACCGAACCCAGGA
Rattus norvegicus (Norway rat) is the source of this 19503-nucleotide non-coding RNA. The record is from RefSeq and is a predicted model, not a curated record. NCBI's taxonomy places the organism in Eukaryota, Metazoa, Chordata, Mammalia, Rodentia, Muridae.